RNAcentral lists this ribosomal RNA (432 nucleotides) under uncultured bacterium. Its description in RNAcentral is "partial 16S ribosomal RNA". It matches the Rfam family "Bacterial small subunit ribosomal RNA", at positions 29 to 506 of the family's 1533-position model. The record is from RNAcentral.
AACGAACGCUGGCGGCAUGCCUAACACAUGCAAGUCGAACGAGACCUUCGGGUCUAGUGGCGCACGGGUGCGUAACGCGUGGGAACCUGCCCUUAGGUUCGGAAUAACUCCCCGAAAGGGGUGCUAAUACCGGAUAAUGUCUUCGGACCAAAGAUUUAUCGCCUUUGGAUGGGCCCGCGUUGGAUUAGCUAGUUGGUAGGGUAAAAGCCUACCAAGGCGACGAUCCAUAGCUGGUCUGAGAGGAUGAUCAGCCACACUGGGACUGAGACACGGCCCAGACUCCUACGGGAGGCAGCAGUGGGGAAUAUGCGACAAUGGGCGAAAGCCUGAUCCAGCAAUGCCGCGGGAGUGAUGAAGGCCUUAGGGUUGUAAAGCUCUUUUACCCGGGAUGAUAAGGACAGGACCGGGAGAAUAAGCUCCGGCGAACUCCGU